GAUGAACGCUGGCGGCGUGCCUAAUACAUGCAAGUCGCGCCACCAGACGAGGAGCUUGCUCCUCUGACGUUAGCGGCGGUCGGGUGAGUCACACGUGGAUACCCUCCCUAUCCGCCUGGGAUAACUUCGGGAAACCGGAGCUAAUACCGGCUACUAUCUUGAACCGCAUGGUUCAAUAGUGAAAGUCGGUUUUGCUGUCACUUAUAGGUGGAUCCGCGCCGCAUUGGCCAGUUGGCAAGGUAACGGCUUACCAAGGCAACGAUGCGUAGCCGACCUGAGAGGGUGAUCGGCCACACUGGAACUGAGACGGGGGCCAGACUCCUACGGGAUGCAGCAGUAGAGAAUCUUCCGCAAUGGGCGAAAGCCUGACGGAGCAACGCCGCGGGAGUAGUGAAGGACGUCGUUUCGUAAAACUCGGUGAGUAGGAAAGAACAAAUGUCUAAGUAACUAUGCACAUCUUGACGGUACCAAAUCAGAAAGCCACGGCUAACUACGUG
Molecule: ribosomal RNA, 497 nt
Filed under: uncultured bacterium
Lineage: Bacteria
Description: partial 16S ribosomal RNA
Rfam family: Bacterial small subunit ribosomal RNA
Source: RNAcentral